Long non-coding RNA from Mastomys coucha (southern multimammate mouse), 589 nucleotides. RefSeq lists it as uncharacterized. The record is from RefSeq and is a predicted model, not a curated record. NCBI's taxonomy places the organism in Eukaryota, Metazoa, Chordata, Mammalia, Rodentia, Muridae. The transcript is spliced from 5 exons.
CACGAUCAUUUGACACAACGGAAUGGAUAGAUGCACAGAAACAACACUGAAUGUCCAGAGCACUAUACAACUGGAAGGGCUUGGAGGCCAUCUUUUUCCUGCUACAGAUGGGGCAACAGCCCAUGGGAACAACGGAAGGAGUCAAGGUCCAACCCAAAGUCAUAUAUGUCUUUUCCCAUUUCUUCUGGGAGUUACAAGGUGUUGCACCUAAGUCCAUGACCCACUCUGUGAAAGGUGGCAGCUUUCCUUGAAAUCCACAGUGUUUUUUCCCUCACUACUUGCUAUUUACAUAUAUGUAAAUGUAUCCUCAUCUCUUAAAAUUUGGGGAAAGAUUUCAUCAUGCAACCCUCCGGCUUUCAAGCAACUACAAGAACAACAGGGAAAGUAACAGAAUCUUAGAAAGGAUGCAAAGAACAGUUAAUAGAUGGAUGUGGUGCUAUGCCUCUCACCUGAACUGUGCUCCAUCGCUGUCUACAUACUUUGACUGACAGAACUUGAUACAGCAGAGGUCUAGUCACCUUAAGUCCUUCAUCUCUCCAGUGCUGUAUGGUAAGAACUCUCAAAGGAAUUCUCCACAGCCAAUCUUAUC